RNAcentral lists this ribosomal RNA (497 nucleotides) under uncultured bacterium. Its description in RNAcentral is "partial 16S ribosomal RNA". It matches the Rfam family "Bacterial small subunit ribosomal RNA", at positions 28 to 507 of the family's 1533-position model. The record is from RNAcentral.
GAUGAACGCUGGCGGCGUGCCUAAUACAUGCAAGUCGAGCGAACGGACGAGAAGCUUGCUUCUCUGAUGUUAGUGGCGGACGGGUGAGUAACACGUGGAUAACCUACCUAUAAGACUGGGAUAACUUCGGGAAACCGGAGCUAAUACCGGAUAAUAUUUUGAACCGCAUGGUUCAAAAGUGAAAGACGGUCUUGCUGUCACUUAUAGAUGGAUCCGCGCUGCAUUAGCUAGUUGGUGAGGUAACGGCUUACCAAGGCAACGAUGCAUAGCCGACCUGAGAGGGUGAUCGGCCACACUGGAACUGAGACACGGUCCAGACUCCUACGGGAGGCAGCAGUAGGGAAUCUUCCGCAAUGGGCGAAAGCCUGACGGAGCAACGCCGCGUGAGUGAUGAAGGUCUUCGGAUCGUAAAACUCUGUUAUUAGGGAAGAACAUAUGUGUAAGUAACUGUGCACAUCUUGACGGUACCUAAUCAGAAAGCCACGGCUAACUACGUG